Molecule: ribosomal RNA, 396 nt
Filed under: uncultured bacterium
Lineage: Bacteria
Description: partial 16S ribosomal RNA
Rfam family: Bacterial small subunit ribosomal RNA
Source: RNAcentral
AUACGUAGGUGACAAGCGUUAUCCGGAAUCAUUGGGCGUAAAGAGUGCGUAGGUGGUUUCUUAAGCGUGGGGUUUAAGGCUACGGCUUAACCGUAGUUCGCCCCAUGAACUGGGAGACUUGAGUGCAGGAGGGGAAAGUGGAAUUCCUGGUGUAGCGGUGAAAUGCGCAGAUAUCAGGAGGAACACCGGUGGCGAAGGCGGGUCUCUGGGCAGUAACUGACGCUGGGGCGCGAAAGCGUGGGGAGCAAACAGGAUUAGAUACCCGGGUAGUCCACGCCGUAAACGAUGAAUACUAGGUGCAGGGGGUAUCGACUCCCUCUGUGCCGCAGUUAACACAAUAAGUAUUCCGCCUGGGGAGUACGGCCGCAAGGUUGAAACUCAAAGGAAUUGACGGGG